This 1523-nucleotide ribosomal RNA is filed under the name marine metagenome. RNAcentral's name for it is "bacterial LSU rRNA". It matches the Rfam family "Bacterial large subunit ribosomal RNA", at positions 524 to 2035 of the family's 2925-position model. The record is from RNAcentral.
CCCCGGCGAGGGGAGUGAAAUAGAACCUGAAACCUUGUGCUUACAAGCAGUCGGAGCAGACUUGUUCUGUGACGGCGUACCUUUUGUAUAAUGGGUCAACGACUUAAUUUCAGUAGCAAGCUUAACCGUUUAGGGGAGGCGCAGGGAAACCGAGUCUUAAUAGGGCGCUCAGUUGCUGGAAUUAGACCCGAAACCGGGUGAUCUAUCCAUGGCCAGGGUGAAGGUUAGGUAACACUGACUGGAGGCCCGAACCCACUUAUGUUGAAAAAUGAGGGGAUGAGCUGUGGAUAGGAGUGAAAGGCUAAUCAAACCCGGAGAUAGCUGGUUCUCUUCGAAAACUAUUUAGGUAGUGCCUCAUGUAUUACCAUUGGGGGUAGAGCACUGUUUCGGCUAGGGGGUCAUCCCGACUUACCAAACCGAUGCAAACUCCGAAUACCAAUGAGUACGAGCAUGGGAGACAGACUGCGGGUGCUAACGUCCGUAGUCGAGAGGGAAACAACCCAGACCGUCAGCUAAGGUCCCAAAUUAUGAUUAAGUGGGAAACAAUGUGGGAAGGCACAAACAGCUAGGAGGUUGGCUUAGAAGCAGCCAUCCUUUAAAGAAAGCGUAAUAGCUCACUAGUCGAGUCGGCCUGCGUGGAAGAUAUAACGGGGCUAAAUCAUAAACCGAAGCUACGGAUCUUAAAUUUAUUUAAGAUGGUAGAAGAGCGUUCUGUAAGCGGUUGAAGGUAAGCUGUAAGGCGAACUGGACGUAUCAGAAGUGCGAAUGUUGACAUGAGUAACGAUCAAAGAGGUGAAAAACCUCUUCGCCGAAAAUCCAAGGUUUCCUGUCCAACGCUAAUCGUGGCAGGGUGAGUCGGCUCCUAAGGCGAGGGCGAAAGCCGUAGUCGAUGGAAAACAGGUUAAUAUUCCUGUACUUCUUAUAAUUGCGAUGGGGUGACGGAGAAGGUUAGGCUAGCACGGCGACGGUUGUCCGUGUUCAAGGUUGUAGACUGAGAUUCUAGGUAAAUCCGGAAUCUCUUAAGGUCAAGAACUGAUAACGACCACUCUUUUGAGUGGGAAGUAGUCGAUACCAUGCUUCCAGGAAAAACCUCUAAGCUUCAGAUUAUAAGAAACCGUACCCCAAACCGACACAGGUGGAUAAGUCGAGAAGACUAAGGUGUUUGAGAGAACUAUGGUGAAGGAACUAGGCAAAAUGGUACCGUAACUUCGGGAGAAGGUACGCCACCAUUGGUGAUGAGACUUGCUCUUUAAGCUGAUGGUGGUCGAAGAUACUAGGUGGCUGCGACUGUUUAUUAAAAACAUAGCACUCUGCAAAAUCGUAAGAUGACGUAUAGGGUGUGACGCCUGCCCGGUGCCGGAAGGUUAAUUGAUGGGGUUAGCUUCGGCGAAGCUCCUGAUCGAAGCCCCGGUAAACGGCGGCCGUAACUAUAACGGUCCUAAGGUAGCGAAAUUCCUUGUCGGGUAAGUUCCGACCUGCACGAAUGGCGUAACGAUGGCCACACUGUCUCCACCCGAGACUCA